AGCAGUAGCCACGGUAAUACGUAGGUGGCAAGCGUUGUCCGGAAUUAUUGGGCGUAAAGCGCGCGCAGGUGGUUUAAUAAGUCUGAUGUGAAAGCCCACGGCUCAACCGUGGAGGGUCAUUGGAAACUGUUAAACUUGAGUGCAGGAGAGAAAAGUGGAAUUCCUAGUGUAGCGGUGAAAUGCGUAGAGAUUAGGAGGAACACCAGUGGCGAAGGCGGCUUUUUGGCCUGUAACUGACACUGAGGCGCGAAAGCGUGGGGAGCAAACAGGAUUAGAUACCCCCGUAGUCCCUGUCUCUUAUAC
This 303-nucleotide ribosomal RNA is filed under the name uncultured bacterium. Its description in RNAcentral is "partial 16S ribosomal RNA". It matches the Rfam family "Bacterial small subunit ribosomal RNA", at positions 507 to 807 of the family's 1533-position model. The record is from RNAcentral.